CCAGACUCCUACGGGAGGCAGCAGUGGGGGAUAUUGGGCAAGGGGGGGAACCCUGAUCCAGCGACGCCGCGUGAGUGAAGAAGUAUCUCGGUAUGUAAAGCUCUAUCAGCAGGGAAGAAAGAAAUGACGGUACCUGAGUAAGAAGCCCCGGCUAACUACGUGCCAGCAGCCGCGGUAAUACGUAGGGGGCAAGCGUUAUCCGGAAUUACUGGGUGUAAAGGGAGCGUAGACGGUGAAGUAAGUCUGGAGUGAAAGGCGGGGGCCCAACCCCCGGACUGCUCUGGAAACUAUUUGACUGGAGUGCAGGAGAGGUAAGCGGAAUUCCUAGUGUAGCGGUGAAAUGCGUAGAUAUUAGGAGGAACACCAGUGGCGAAGGCGGCUUUCUGGACUGUAACUGACACUGAGGUACGAAAGCGUGGGGAGCAAACAGGAUUAGAUACCCGAGUA
RNAcentral lists this ribosomal RNA (447 nucleotides) under uncultured bacterium. RNAcentral describes it as "bacterial SSU rRNA". It matches the Rfam family "Bacterial small subunit ribosomal RNA", at positions 331 to 792 of the family's 1533-position model. The record is from RNAcentral.